This is a long non-coding RNA of Eucalyptus grandis, 386 nucleotides long. RefSeq lists it as uncharacterized. The transcript has 3 exons. The record is from RefSeq and is a predicted model, not a curated record. Lineage: Eukaryota; Viridiplantae; Streptophyta; Magnoliopsida; Myrtales; Myrtaceae.
AGGGACAAUAAGAAUCUGGACCGAAUCGGACAGGGAUUACUGAUUUGAUAUUGUGGAGAGAUGUCGCGAAAUCGACACUCUGGUUUGGUGUAGGGUCUCUCUGCUUCUUGUCUUCUUGCUUUGCUCAAGGAAUCAGCUUCAGCAUUUUCUCUGCAAUUUGCCAACUGGGGCUUCUCUUGUUGGGGUUAUCUUUCUUCUCCAAUUCCAUCUGUCAAAGGAAUAAUAUUGAGAAGAGGCGUGACAUCCAGUUAAAAGAAGAUGACAUCUUGAGAGUGGCUAGAUUGAUACUUCCUGCUGCUAAUCUCGCAAUUUCAAAGAGGCGAGAGCUUUUCUCGGGAGAGCCAUCCAUGACCCUAAAAGUACGUCGUGGUGGUGGGCUAGUAUUC